AUGCUGGAGCCUUACAAUCCUUCCUGCUUUGAGAUGUUACAGAUGGUACCCGGCUCUGCUCCCAAGCCCAGAGACAUUUCUGCACCUCCACAUGCCACAGAGAGACCCAAAACCCUGACCAGAAUCCCAGUCUGCCCAGCAGUUUGUCAUCUGUUUGGUGUUAGAGACCCACAGGGAAGGACAGGCACAAUCAGUUCCUUCCAUCAGAAGUGGCACUGGACCAAAUGUCCUCACACUGGAAAGACCCUGGAGAGUAUUUGUCACCUGCUUUGGACCUGUGGCACCAGACUUGGAUAUGGAAAGACGGCACGGAGCUGGACAGGUGACACUGAGCCGUGCCUCUUCUGUCUCUCACUUUAAAUAGGGGAAGCCUCUGAGAUGGGCUCCGGCAGUGGCCUCUCAUGGGAGUGGAGCUGCUCGCCCCCGGAUGCAGAAGGUUUCCCCUGCCCUGGGUGGCAGUGGCCAGCCUGCCCGUUAUGCUGGGCAGGGGUGACUUCUCCAGGGGUGACAGGUCCUGGCUUUAUUCCUUCCUCAACCUCAGAUGGGGAAGGAGGAGACAGGGCCUAGCAAGCAAAGAAAU
RNAcentral lists this long non-coding RNA (580 nucleotides) under Anser brachyrhynchus (Pink-footed goose). Its description in RNAcentral is "lncRNA (ENSABRG00000017707.1)". The record is from RNAcentral. Lineage: Eukaryota; Metazoa; Chordata; Aves; Anseriformes; Anatidae.